GUGAAAGCAACCUGACGGUACCAGAGGAAUCAGCAUCGGCUAACUCCGUGCCAGCAGCCGCGGUAAGACGGAGGAUGCAAGCGUUAUCCGGAAUGAUUGGGCGUAAAGCGUCCGCAGGUGGCAGUUCAAGUCUGCUGUCAAAGACCGGGGCUUAACUUCGGAAAGGCAGUGGAAACUGAACAGCUAGAGUAUGGUAGGGGCAGAGGGAAUUCCUGGUGUAGCGGUGAAAUGCGUAGAGAUCAGGAAGAACAUCGGUGGUCGACGCGGCCG
RNAcentral lists this ribosomal RNA (270 nucleotides) under uncultured Microcoleus sp. Its description in RNAcentral is "partial 16S ribosomal RNA". It matches the Rfam family "Bacterial small subunit ribosomal RNA", at positions 458 to 731 of the family's 1533-position model. Lineage: Bacteria; Bacillati; Cyanobacteriota; Cyanophyceae; Oscillatoriales; Microcoleaceae. The record is from RNAcentral.